Amphiprion ocellaris (clown anemonefish) is the source of this 947-nucleotide long non-coding RNA. RefSeq lists it as uncharacterized. NCBI's taxonomy places the organism in Eukaryota, Metazoa, Chordata, Actinopteri, Pomacentridae. The transcript has 3 exons. The record is from RefSeq and is a predicted model, not a curated record.
ACAAAGCUCGAUGAAGCCAUACUAUCGCAGUGGAACGACCUGCUAUUUGUAGCGACUAUUAAGUGUUUACACUGCUUAAAGUCUUUUUAAGGCAAUAUGCCAGGUCCCCAUUGUUCAGUGCGGGACUGCCACAACGGUACCCGUGGGCUAAAGACAUGGACGGAAGAGUUUUGCCCUAUUCACGAGGGCAAUAAAGGAACCUCGCGCUGUAUAUGUGACCCGCCUUAUUUACUCGUCACAUUUCCUACUGAAAGAAAAGAUCCAGAACGUCGUGCCGAAUGGAUUAAAUUAGUUUCCCAGAGACUAUGGGUUGAGGAGGAAGUGGAAGUUUGUCAGCUUAGACCUGGUGUCAUUCCAUCAGUGUUUAACUUCCCGGCUCAUCUUGGAAGAGUAUGUGCCAGAAAGACCACAAACAAGCAGCCUUGAGAUGUUAGACAGCGUCUCCCUGAGGUCCCUCUCUAUCUCCCCACAUAUCCACCAACCACUGGAACACAUCUCCAAAGUUCUGCUGGGCCAGCUCAGCUUCCCCUCAGAAGAAGUGCCGCCACCUGCCAGAUGAAGGAGCCUUUUGAGAGGCAGCUGGCAUCGUGAUUGGACUGUACUUUGGUCUGUUCCAAUCCAGCUUCAGCUCCAGAGACGGCAGGCGGGACGAGUCAACGGAGGCCGGAUGGACGAAGGCAUGCAGCUGAGUACAAUCCAGAAAACAACAGAGGAGGAGUGCAGGGCCAGAACAACCAGAGUAGCACAUUAUGUCUCUUAGAAAACAUCAUAGUAGAGCCUUUGGGAUGAAAAAACGCCAUCAUAUACAUCGUAUAUUGUACAAAUAAGUCAAAGGAAAGAGACAUCAACUGUAGAAUUGUAGUAAUUGUGGACUGACUGAUUUACUGAUUAUCAGUAUUUUAUUUUUUACCGAUUUACGGUAAUAAAUACAUUUAAAAAUGGUGCUA